This 1188-nucleotide ribosomal RNA is filed under the name Rhynchocypris lagowskii (Amur minnow). Its description in RNAcentral is "partial 16S ribosomal RNA". It matches the Rfam family "Bacterial large subunit ribosomal RNA", at positions 724 to 2556 of the family's 2925-position model. The record is from RNAcentral. Lineage: Eukaryota; Metazoa; Chordata; Actinopteri; Cypriniformes; Leuciscidae.
GGUGAGCUACCCCGAGACAGCCUAUAUUAAUUUAGGGCUAACCCGUCUCUGUGGCAAAAGAGUGGAAAGAGCUCCGGGUAGAAGUGAAAGACCUACCGAACCUGGUGAUAGCUGGUUGACUGAGAAAUGGAUAGAAGUUCAGCCUCGCACACCCCAAACCAAAAAAUAUUAUCACCAAGAUAUUAAGGGAAACGUACGAGAGUUAGUUAAAAGGGGUACAGCCCUUUUAACAAAGGAUACAACCUUUACAGGAGGAUAAAGAUCAUAAUGUAUAAGAUAUACUGUUCUAGUGGGCCUGAAAGCAGCCACCUAAACAGAAAGCGUUAAAGCUCGGACAGAAGGAAGUUUAUUAUACUGAUAAAAAAUCUUAUUCCCCUAGCUAUAUCAGACCAACCCAUGCCUCCAUGGAAGAGAUUAUGCUAAAAUGAGUAAUAAGAAGACCCGCUCUUCUCCCAGCACAAGUGUAAACCAGAUCGGACUGACCACUGGAACUUAACGAACCCAACCCCAGAGGGUAGUGUGAUUAACAAAAAACUCAAGAAGGCCUCACAUAACUAAUCGUUAACCCCACACUGGAGUGCUAUUUUAAGGGAAAGACUAAAAGAAGGGGAAGGAACUCGGCAAACACAAGCCUCGCCUGUUUACCAAAAACAUCGCCUCCUGCAACUAAACUGAGUAUAGGAGGUCCAGCCUGCCCAGUGACUACGGGUUCAACGGCCGCGGUAUCUUGACCGUGCAAAGGUAGCGCAAUCACUUGUCUCUUAAAUAGAGACCUGUAUGAAUGGCUAGACGAGGGCUUAACUGUCUCCCCCUUCCAGUCAGUGAAAUUGAUCUAUCCGUGCAGAAGCGGGUAUAAAUAUACAAGACGAGAAGACCCUUUGGAGCUUAAGGUACAAAAUUCAGCCACGUUAAACAACUCUAUAAGAAGCAAGAACUUAGUGAUAAUGAAAUUUUACCUUCGGUUGGGGCGACCGCGGAGGAAAAACAAGCCUCCGAGUGGACUGGGCCGAAUCCCUGAAGCCAAUAGAGACAUCUAUAAGCCGCAGAACAUCUGACCAAAAAUGAUCCGGCUAAAAGCCGAUCAACGAACCAAGUUACCCAAGGGAUAACAGCGCAAUCCCCUCCCAGAGCCCAUAUCUACGAGGGGGUUUACGACCUCGAUGUUGGAUCAGGACAUCCUAAUGGUGC